This is a long non-coding RNA of Manacus vitellinus (golden-collared manakin), 385 nucleotides long. RefSeq lists it as uncharacterized. The record is from RefSeq and is a predicted model, not a curated record. Lineage: Eukaryota; Metazoa; Chordata; Aves; Passeriformes; Pipridae. The transcript is spliced from 3 exons.
GGGAGAGCGCCUUGGCCGCUGGCCUGGCUCGUGGUUUCCCCUGGUGCUGGGGAGUGGAGGCGAGUUGUGCUUCCUGCCGGGAGAGAGAAGGGCCUUGGGAAGCUGCUCCAUGAGCCACAGCUGUGCCGAGCCCGGCAGUCUGUCCAGGAUGUCGAGUGCCACCGUGUCCCUGAGGUCACCCUUUCUCCUGUUGGAAGAGCACGAGGUGGAUGGAGAGGAUCCCCAGGCAUCUGCAGGCACAAGGCACUUGUACAACUGCAAUUUUCCUACAGCCCUCGUGAGAGGGACUUUGAGGGUACCAUGGGUCAUGUGCCAGCUCUCCUGCUGGAGUGUUUAUCUUCUCCUACAUUUGAACAUAAAGAGUAAAAUUAAUGUCAGGUUUGUU